This 564-nucleotide ribosomal RNA is filed under the name Talaromyces radicus. RNAcentral describes it as "eukaryotic LSU rRNA". The stretch from base 187 to 340 matches the Rfam family "5.8S ribosomal RNA". The record is from RNAcentral. Lineage: Eukaryota; Fungi; Ascomycota; Eurotiomycetes; Eurotiales; Trichocomaceae.
GGCCAUUCGAGUGCGGUUCGAUGAGCCCAACCUCCCACCCGUGUCUACCGUUACCGCGUUGCUUCGGCGGGCCCACUGGGGCCUCGCCCCGGUCGCCGGGGGGGUUCUGCCCCCGGGCCCGCGCCCGCCGAAGCGCCCUGGAACCCUGUCUGAACAGUGAGUCUGAGUGUGAGAUUGAAUCAUUAAAACUUUCAACAACGGAUCUCUUGGUUCCGGCAUCGAUGAAGAACGCAGCGAAAUGCGAUAAGUAAUGUGAAUUGCAGAAUUCCGUGAAUCAUCGAAUCUUUGAACGCACAUUGCGCCCCCUGGCAUUCCGGGGGGCAUGCCUGUCCGAGCGUCAUUUCUGCCCUCCAGCACGGCUGGGUGUUGGGCGCUGUCCCCCCGGGGACACGCCCCAAAGGCAGUGGCGGCGCCGCGUCGGGUCCUCGAGCGUAUGGGGCUCUGUCACCCGCUCGGGAGGGACUCGGUCGGCGCUGGUCUUCCCCCAGGCGGCCCUUUCGGGCUCGUCUCUUUCCGGUUGACCUCGGAUCAGGUAGGGCUACCCGCUGAACUUAAGCAUAUCAA